GUGGCAUUACAAAAAAAAGGGGUAAACUCCAAAUAACAUUUAUGUGAUUUCGCAUUUUUUCACUUUACUAUUUUAUGAUUUAAAGUGUAUCAAGUUAGUGUCAUGUGGUUUCAUUUUUAUCUUUUCGUCUGCUUUUUCGUUAAUAAUAUUUUGUUAAAUUAUAUACGAAAAAACUUCAGAUACUUUACUUAGGUUUAUCGAAUAUUCACUUUAAUGCCAUUUAGUUUUAACUUUGUCACUGAUUUAACGAAAAAAAUUAGUAAAAUUGAUAAUAAAAAAAUAAAAAUAAAAUCACAGAAUACUAAAUUGAUACACUCUAAAUCAUAAGAUACUAAAGUAAGAAAAGUUAAAACUACAGGGGUGAUGUUAGAAAUUUUUCUACAAAAAAAUG
RNAcentral lists this long non-coding RNA (391 nucleotides) under Ananas comosus (pineapple). Its description in RNAcentral is "long non-coding RNA (ACOM_LNC015891)". Lineage: Eukaryota; Viridiplantae; Streptophyta; Magnoliopsida; Poales; Bromeliaceae. The record is from RNAcentral.